CCUACGGGAGGCAGCAGUGGGGAAUUUUGGACAAUGGGCGCAAGCCUGAUCCAGCAAUGCCGCGUGCAGGAUGAAGGCCUUCGGGUUGUAAACUGCUUUUGUACGGAACGAAACGGCGAGCUCUAAUAAAGUUCGCUAAUGACGGUACCGUAAGAAUAAGCACCGGCUAACUACGUGCCAGCAGCCGCGGUAAUACGUAGGGUGCAAGCGUUAAUCGGAAUUACUGGGCGUAAAGCGUGCGCAGGCGGUGAUGUAAGACAGAUGUGAAAUCCCCGGGCUCAACCUGGGACCUGCAUUUGUGACUGCAUCGCUAGAGUACGGUAGAGGGGGAUGGAAUUCCGCGUGUAGCAGUGAAAUGCGUAGAUAUGCGGAGGAACACCGAUGGCGAAGGCAAUCCCCUGGACCUGUACUGACGCUCAUGCACGAAAGCGUGGGGAGCAAACAGGAUUAGAUACCCUGGUAGUCCACGCCCUAAACGAUGUCAACUGGUUGUUGGGUCUUCACUGACUCAGUAACGAAGCUAACGCGUGAAGUUGACCGCCUGGGGAGUACGGCCGCAAGGUUGAAACUUAAAUGAAAUUGACGG
Molecule: ribosomal RNA, 586 nt
Filed under: uncultured bacterium
Lineage: Bacteria
Description: bacterial SSU rRNA
Rfam family: Bacterial small subunit ribosomal RNA
Source: RNAcentral